GGACUACAAGCAACCACCCACCUGAGUAUAAGAGCCUGUGUUUUUCAGACCCUCCUUUGGGAUGUUGUAGUAGGCUUGAACCCUUUUAGAUGCUGGAGUAUACUGCAUGGUCCCUCUGAUGCUCUCUCCUCCCCAGCCUGCAAGAUAUCUACUUCUCACACACCAACAGGAGCUGAAUUCCCCCUAACCCCAUCCAGGAUGGUUCUUCAUCCUGCCUCAAGCUCUGUACUUGCCAGCAUCUCAAAAACAUCAUAUGCAGCAGAACUACCUGGAUGCAGUGAUGUUCUUCUCUAUAUGACCUUGCAACGAUGUUUUUCUUUCCCAACUCAUAACCAGGAGUUUUAUCUUAAUCCUUUGUUGCAAUCUCAGCAUGUGAAUUCACACUGGCAAUGAAGAGCAAGGAUUCCAGGUUCAGCUUUGAUUAAAGAAGUGGUACAAAUGGAAUGCAUAAUGGUCAG
This 458-nucleotide long non-coding RNA is filed under the name Junco hyemalis (dark-eyed junco). RNAcentral describes it as "lncRNA (ENSJHYG00000004947.1)". The record is from RNAcentral. Lineage: Eukaryota; Metazoa; Chordata; Aves; Passeriformes; Passerellidae.